UGGUGGAGUGAUUUGUCUGGUUAAUUCCGUUAACGAACGAGACCUUAGCCUGCUAAAUAGUUGUGUCAACCUUUCCAAUAAACCCGUUCGUUCGAGCGUCGGAACCCCCUUCGGGCGGGCACCCCUUGAGCGGAUGGCGGUUCGGUUGACAGAUAUACUUCUUAGAGGGACUGCCAGUGUUCAACUGGAGGAGGCUUGAGGCAAUAACA
This 209-nucleotide ribosomal RNA is filed under the name uncultured eukaryote. Its description in RNAcentral is "partial 18S ribosomal RNA". It matches the Rfam family "Eukaryotic small subunit ribosomal RNA", at positions 1299 to 1458 of the family's 1831-position model. The record is from RNAcentral.